GACGAACGCUGGCGGCGUGCUUAACACAUGCAAGUCGAGCGGAAAGGCCCUUUCGGGGGUACUCGAGCGGCGAACGGGUGAGUAACACGUGAGUAAUCUGCCCUUGGCUUUGGGAUAACCACCGGAAACGGUGGCUAAUACCGGAUACGACCACUCCCGGCAUCGGGUGGUGGUGGAAAGUUUUUUCGGCCAGGGAUGUGCUCGGGGCCUAUCAGCUUGUUGGUGGGGGAAUGGCCUACCAAGGCUUCGACGGGUAGCCGGCCUGGGAGGGUGACCGGGCACACUGGGACUGAGACACGGCCCAGCCUCCUACGGGAGGCAGCAGUGGGGAAUAUUGGACAAUGGGCGGAAGCCUGAUCCAGCAACGCCGCGUGAGGGAUGACGGCCUUCGGGUUGUAAACCUCUUUCAGUACCGACGAAGCGCCGAUGAUGGCGGUGACGGUAGGUACAGAAGAAGCACCGGCCAACUACGUGCCAGCAGCCGCAGUAA
Molecule: ribosomal RNA, 490 nt
Filed under: uncultured bacterium
Lineage: Bacteria
Description: partial 16S ribosomal RNA
Rfam family: Bacterial small subunit ribosomal RNA
Source: RNAcentral